RNAcentral lists this ribosomal RNA (253 nucleotides) under uncultured bacterium. RNAcentral describes it as "partial 16S ribosomal RNA". It matches the Rfam family "Bacterial small subunit ribosomal RNA", at positions 524 to 776 of the family's 1533-position model. The record is from RNAcentral.
UACGUAGGGCGCAAGCGUUGUCCGGAAUUAUUGGGCGUAAAGAGCUCGUAGGCGGCCUGUUACGUCUGCUGUGAAAUCCCGGGGCUUAACCCCGGGCGUGCAGUGGAUACGGGCAGGCUAGAGUUCGGUAGGGGAGACUGGAAUUCCUGGUGUAGCGGUGAAAUGCGCAGAUAUCAGGAGGAACACCGGUGGCGAAGGCGGGUCUCUGGGCCGGAACUGACGCUGAGGAGCGAAAGCGUGGGGAGCGAACAGG